Molecule: ribosomal RNA, 493 nt
Filed under: uncultured bacterium
Lineage: Bacteria
Description: partial 16S ribosomal RNA
Rfam family: Bacterial small subunit ribosomal RNA
Source: RNAcentral
UGGGGAAUAUUGGACAAUGGGGGCAACCCUGAUCCAGCAAUGCCGCGUGUGUGAAGAAGGUCUUCGGAUUGUAAAGCACUUUCGACGGGGACGAUGAUGACGGUACCCGUAGAAGAAGCCCCGGCUAACUUCGUGCCAGCAGCCGCGGUAAUACGAAGGGGGCUAGCGUUGCUCGGAAUGACUGGGCGUAAAGGGCGUGUAGGCGGUUUACACAGUCAGAUGUGAAAUCCCCCGGGCUUAACCUGGGAGCUGCAUUUGAUACGUGUAGACUAGAGUGUGAGAGAGGGUUGUGGAAUUCCCAGUGUAGAGGUGAAAUUCGUAGAUAUUGGGAAGAACACCGGUGGCGAAGGCGGCAACCUGGCUCAUGACUGACGCUGAGGCGCGAAAGCGUGGGGAGCAAACAGGAUUAGAUACCCUGGUAGUCCACGCUGUAAACGAUGUGUGCUAGAUGUUGGGUAACUUUGUUAUUCAGUGUCGCAGUUAACGCGUUAAG